UAGUUCUCCCGCUCUACCCCAAACUCAUUUUCAUCUCCCGCUCAAACUCAUCUUCAUCACCCGUUCUACCCCUCUUUCUUAUCAGUUCUGCAAUGGUCAGACCACCACUGCCGUCAUCUUUAUCUCCCGGCUCCUUCUCGAUCCAUCGCCACGCGACACCACUGACGCACCUCCUCCAAUUCGAACCACCAGGUUCUUCUUACAAAAUACAGGGUUAUCACUUUCCAGAUUAUCCAGGUGUUUGAGGUAUUGCAUUGUUGGGGGUAAAAAGGCACUUGAAGUUGCUGAUUUUGGUGGUGAUAAUCUCUCUAAGGCGCUUGAAGACGCUGAUAUUGUGUUUUGCAAAUAUGUUUUCUAGACUAAUGUAAUCUUCUUGUAACUUGUCUGUAUAGUUAUUGUUUUGGGGCGUGGCUAAUCAGAGCUGACUCGAGGGGGAUAGAAGUCAAGGAAGGGCUUUGCCCCCCACUUUAAAAGGGCCCAUAAAUUAAAAAAAAAAAACAAGUAUUGUAAUUUGGGUUUCAAUUGGAACAUGAACUCCUGAACUCUUGAAUCAAUCGGAAAGCAUGAAAAGUGGCGGUUGUUUUAGUGUUUCAAGCAAAAAUUGAAGAGUCAAAACUCAAAAACCUAACUUCAUGAAGACGAUCACUCAUCUAUGCUUUUCAGUCGUUGUUCAUCUCUUAGCUACAAGGUAAUUUCUACGAUUCUAGUUGGAAGUAUGAAUUGAAGAUGUUGGUUUGGGUUGGACGUAUGAAGGGGUCGGUUCAAGAAGUUAUAGUAUAUCAUUUUCAUCUUUAGAGAUAUAUGUAUUUGUGUUACUUCGAAACUUUUGUAAUUUUGUGUUACUUUGAAACCUUUGUAAUUUAUAUUCUUGGAUUAUAUUUUAUUGGUUUUAAUUUUU
Long non-coding RNA from Helianthus annuus (common sunflower), 898 nucleotides. RefSeq lists it as uncharacterized. The transcript is spliced from 5 exons. NCBI's taxonomy places the organism in Eukaryota, Viridiplantae, Streptophyta, Magnoliopsida, Asterales, Asteraceae. The record is from RefSeq and is a predicted model, not a curated record.